UACAACAUGAUUACAGAUUUUGGCCACACUGCUUUUAAUAUUUUUUUUUAAUUCUUUAAUAAAGGUGCCUCAACUAUUAGAAUUGACAGGACUGCUUCAGAGAGAGAAAUAUAACUCUAUUGUUUUACGUGGGGAGUAUGAAUGACCAAAAUCUUGAAAUAGUUGAAAUCUAUAAUAAUGUGGUUAAGUAGCAAACAACUAAACUCUGCUUAACUAGCUUAGCUGCUUAAUUACACACCUUAAUAACGAAUUUUUGUUGUGCUGUACCUGACAGUAAUGCUUACAGAUUGCACCUGUAUUUAUCAUCUAUAUUUGUAAACCUCUCUAGUUUGACAAAAACAGAGUGCAACCAAUGGACCAGUACAAGGGAAUCAUGCUAAUGAAGUAAAUGAAAAUCUUCUCCCAGGUAAACUGCUUCAGAGAAUAAGUGGAGUGAAUCUGUAUUUCUCACACACUUAUUGUGACCAUUUCACUCACACGUAACACUCACUUUGACCUGUUUAAAAGAUGCAUCAUUUUAUGGUAAAUUAAAAUGAAUAAGCUUUCUGUGAAAGCAAAUAAGCUUCCUCUUUGGAUUUCACAGGAUAUAAUAGUAAUGGACAUGCACCAACAGCAGUCAAUGGAAGUAAGCAGUUAUCAGUGCAGAUACAGCAGAAAUAUCUGCUGUUUUCUGAAAUAAUGUGCCAUAAGGGCUGUGUAGUAAUUCAUUGCAUAAAAGAUUAAAAUAAAAAAAUGUUUAAACUGCACAUAAGUAUUAAAUUAUUAAUGUAAUAAAUUGUUUAGAAUUCAAUUAUUUUAGUUACCUGCCUUGUAGUAAACCCUCUGUAAUGUCUUUACUUUCACUAGAUCUUCUCUUGAUUGUAGAGACUUAGAAACAGUCUCUACUGUUCCCAGCAAUAUCUCGCAAAUGAAAUUUAACAUUUGGAAUAAACUACAGUUAUUAACUACAGUUGUUAACUGCUUAAUUGUUACUGAAACAAUCAGGGAACAGCUCACAUCUGAAACCUCUCACUGACUUACCCUUCAAAAGGGAACUGCAUAUAAAAAUGCUGUAUGUCUGUAAUGUUUCUGAUUUUACCUCAUUUGGAUGUAAAUAGUCUCAAAUUCAAUUGCUUCUUUUCAAAAUUAUUAUUUUUCUAAUGGUAGUUAAAUGUUUAUAUAUUUUGCAGAAUAUAAACAUGUAUUUAUAACAUCCAUUUAAAUGAUUAUAUCUCAAAUAUUAGAAAAAUAAUGGCAUAAUUAGAAAGCAGAAAUUUACUUUUUUACAAUUUGAAGUAGCAUGUCAUAUUCACAAAUUAGUACAAUUUGUUUGGAAAUGUUCACAUUGCAGCCUAACUAGCCUUUGCAUUAUUUUUAAAUUAUUUAAUAAUAAUAAAAUAACAUUACUUUGUGCUCUUAACCUCAUGUUGAUAGAAAAUUAUAUUGUUAACAUUGUUUCACUUUAUCCAGUAUGUGCUGCUGUUACAUUACGACCUGUGUUUAUAAUGCAAUCAAGGGACUGAAGUGGCCAGGGCUCCUGAACACUGGUGCAUCUCUAAAUUUAAGCAUACAGUAUAUGAAGUUUACUUAAAUGAUUCUGACAUUUUUCUCAUUCGUUUCCCUCUAUUAAAGGACCCAAUGGAGUGAUAAUUAUUGCCAACUGAAAAAUAGUGAAGCAGGAAAAGUAGUGACUGAAGAUGGAGAUUGAAUUUGAAUUUUUGGAUUUGUUCUUUCAUAAAUUCUCUUAAGUAUGUAGGUUACUUAAACCGAUAGUUUGUAAUGACUACUUUGAUCAUGCUACAGACUGUGCAGUGUUUUUAUGCAUGUUCAUGUGUGAUGAGAAAGGACAUGACAUAUGGGGGAUUUUUAACUUUUACCCCCUUAAGCUCAAGGAAACUGUAAAAUAUCUGGAAUAACACAUUUUGCCCCCUUUUCCUAACAAAGGAGGUUAGGGAAGCUGUAGUCAUUCACUGUUAUAGCCAAAAAGGUUUAUUCAGGUUAGGUCAAACAUUUCAGUGGAUGGCCAUAUUCUUUGUUACAUUAAUACAUUUGGUAAAUGCUUUUAUCCACUGCAUUCAAGCUAUACAUUUCACCAGUUGAUACAUUUCAUGAGACUCAAACUCAUGACCCAUACUAGAGCUUGUUUUACUGUUUGAGUCACAAGACGACGGAGGUCAAAGUAUGAAUUUAUCAAAAUAAGUGUUGCUCUUAAGUUUUGAAUGAGUGAUGUUACAGGUUUAUUUAGUGGUUGCAAAACAAUUACUUAGUUGAAGAUUUGGCUUUGUUGACUGCAGAUGAACUUUAUUUUUUCUUCAGUAUUAAUAGCUUUCUUUCGCUAUGUAGAAAUAAGCAUGAGACACCACAGAUCAUGUCAUGAGUAAAGUUAGCACAAUUGACUGAAAAACAGAUUCAUUGUUACCUAAAAAUUUUAAACAGAUUUGUAUGUAACAAAUUAAAAGAAAUGAGGAAUGUUAAAUAGCAGUAUUGUAAGUUAAAGUUCAUACGCAUUUCAUAAUAUCCACCUUAUUUUUCCUGUAAGAGCAGAUGUGGCCAUUAGUAAAUUUAACUGGUCUGCUUCUGGUGUUAUCCGCUUCCAGCACUUUAGCUGUUGAAAACAGCAAAAAACGGGUGUUUCUCACCAUAUUAUUUUUAAUGUAUUAUCUUAAUUUUAAACAUACUGCUUUGUAGCUCUCACGCUUACUUUGAGUUUAAGCUUGUUGAAGUGUUUUUACAUGUAGUAAAUAAAACCAAUUCCUAUUAAAAUUUUACUUCAUA
Molecule: long non-coding RNA, 2754 nt
Organism: Cyprinus carpio (common carp)
Lineage: Eukaryota; Metazoa; Chordata; Actinopteri; Cypriniformes; Cyprinidae
Exons: 2
Source: RefSeq, a predicted model, not a curated record